This 1173-nucleotide long non-coding RNA is filed under the name Zostera marina. RNAcentral describes it as "long non-coding RNA (ZMAR_LNC001192)". The record is from RNAcentral. Lineage: Eukaryota; Viridiplantae; Streptophyta; Magnoliopsida; Alismatales; Zosteraceae.
UUGAAAGUUGAAGGUUGGAUCAUAUAACAGUAGAGAUGAUAAAAGAAGACAGACAAUGGUUGUUUCUACUUGUUCCUAGAGUAUAGUAGCUUAGUGGAUGGAAAAAAAAAACAUGAACCAGCUAUUGUCUUGUUGUGGGAGAUUGUGUUUGUUAGAUGGAUACGAUUUCAGACAUUCCUGUCGUCUUCCACCUCUAAUUAUUUAAUGGAGAGAUUUCCAUCUGACAGACCACCACAUCGGACAACCUCUCAAGGCCAAAUGCCCAAAUCACCAUGACUCAUGUGUAUGGUCAAUCGGUCAUGGUCCAUCCCAGUUGAGAGAAAACGACCAACGGCCACCCCGAGGUCACUGAGUGGUCCUAAAGCUCCUUCAUGGAUGCAUGCAUGGCACUGUUCCUUAUCAUCAUCAUCAUCCAUGGAUCCAUGAAUAAUAACACUAGCACAUGGGAAGUAGCAGCGGCGGCAGGAGAAGGAGCAGAGCUCAGAGAUCCGUGGCAAUAUCGCACUGUCUGUUCACAUCAUCUAAUUAAACCCAGAUUAACAUCGCAACAUUUAAUAUUAUAAAUAAAUGAUGGUAAAAGUAUAAACAGUAGAAAAUAGUAAUAUAGGAAAACCCAUUUGCUAACCAUUUCUGUUUCUCCUGCUUCUGUCAUCUGUUUACAGAUUUAGACAGCACACGCAGAAGAAGAGUGAAGACCAGAACACUUCCUUGGUUCAACAACAAGGAGAAGAUAUAAACUGUUCCUGUUCUAUUUCCAUCUACAGAUGGGAACCCAACAAGGGAAGAUGGCUGGGAUCUGGCACUUCUUCUUCUCCGUCGUCGUCUUCGACCAAGGUGGAGGAGCGGCUGGGGGAGGUAGCAAACGGCAUCCCAAGUAGUAGCAGCAGCAGCACUGUAAUCAAUGUUGUGAUAUUGACACAAUAGGCUCAAUCAAAACUCAUGUUUUUAUUUUUAUUUCUUCCAACCAAGUCAGAUAUAUAGAUCAUUCCUAUUGAAUCUGUAUUAAUCUGUAUGAACUAUGAAGUCAAUCAAAUGGAGUUUCUUCUUCUUUUUCUUCCUUUUUCUUCAAAAAAAUUGAUUUUUAUUUAUUUUUACAUCAAGUUGGAUGUUUUUUCUUCUGAGUUCCAAAUGUAGGAUUGUCAUACAUAGGUUCACAUAAUCACAACCAAACAC